AUUGAACGCUGGCGGCAUGCUUUACACAUGCAAGUCGAACGGCAGCGCGGGCUUCUGCCUGGCGGCGAGUGGCGAACGGGUGAGUAAUGCAUCGGAACGUGCCCAGUAGUGGGGGAUAGCCCGGCGAAAGCCGGCUUAAUACCGCAUACGACCUGAGUGUGAACGCGGGGGACCGAAAGUCCUCGCCCUAUUUGAUGGCCCGUUGACGCAUUAGCUAGUUGGUGGGGUAAAGGCUUACCAAGGCGACGAUCCGUAGCUGGUCUGAGAGGACGACCAGCCACACUGGGACUGAGACACGGCCCAGACUCCUACGGGAGGCAGCAGUGGGGAAUUUUGGACAAUGGGGGCAACCCUGAUCCAGCAAUGCCGCGUGCGGGAAGAAGGCCUUCGGGUUGUAAACCGCUUUUGUUCGGGAAGAAAUCCUCUGGGCUAAUACCCCGGGGGGAUGACGGUACCGGAAGAAUAAGCACCGGCUAACUACGUG
Molecule: ribosomal RNA, 484 nt
Filed under: uncultured bacterium
Lineage: Bacteria
Description: partial 16S ribosomal RNA
Rfam family: Bacterial small subunit ribosomal RNA
Source: RNAcentral